CAGAGGUGAAAUCCUGCAGCUUAACUGUAGAAUUGCCUUUGAUACUGGUUGUCUUGAGUUAUUAUGAAGUGGUUAGAAUAUGUAGUGUAGCGGUGAAAUGCAUAGAUAUUACAUAGAAUACCAAUUGCGAAGGCAGAUCACUAAUAAUAUACUGACACUGAUGGACGAAAGCGUGGGGAGCGAACAGGAUUAGAUACCCUGGUAG
Molecule: ribosomal RNA, 205 nt
Filed under: uncultured bacterium
Lineage: Bacteria
Description: partial 16S ribosomal RNA
Rfam family: Bacterial small subunit ribosomal RNA
Source: RNAcentral